CCCUAUGGGGUGCAGCAGGCGAGAAAACUUUGCAAUGUGCGAAAGCACGACAAGGUUAAUCCGAGUGGUUUCUGCUAAAGGAACCUUUUGUCAGUCCUAGAAACACUGAUGAAUAAGGGGUGGGCAAGUUCUGGUGUCAGCCGCCGCGGUAAAACCAGCACCUCAAGUGGUCAGGAUGAUUAUUGGGCCUAAAGCAUCCGUAGCCGGCUCUGUAAGUUUUCGGUUAAAUCUGUACGCUCAACGUACAGGCUGCCGGGAAUACUGCAAAGCUAGGGAGUGGGAGAGGUAGACGGUACUCGGUAGGAAGGGGUAAAAUCCUUUGAUCUAUUGAUGACCACCUGUGGCGAAGGCGGUCUACCAGAACACGUCCGACGGUGAGGGAUGAAAGCUGGGGGAGCAAACCGGAUUAGAUACCCGGGUAGUCCCAGCUGUAAACCAUGCAAACUCAGUGAUGCAUUGGCUUGUGGCCAAUGCAGUGCUGCAGGGAAGCCCUUAAGUUUGCCGCCUGGGAAGUACGUUCGCAAGUAUGAAACUUUAAGGAAUUGGCGGGGGAGCACCACCAAGGGUGAAGCUGCGGGUCAAUUGGGAGUUCACCGCCCGAAAUCUUUCCCCGGGAAACCAGCAGAUGAGGUCAGCUGAAGACUUUACCAGACAGCUGAGAGUGUGCAUGG
Molecule: ribosomal RNA, 671 nt
Filed under: uncultured marine group I thaumarchaeote
Lineage: Archaea; Thermoproteati; Nitrososphaerota
Description: bacterial SSU rRNA
Rfam family: Archaeal small subunit ribosomal RNA
Source: RNAcentral